This 260-nucleotide unclassified non-coding RNA is filed under the name plant metagenome. RNAcentral describes it as "partial contains small subunit ribosomal RNA, internal transcribed spacer 1, and 5.8S ribosomal RNA". The record is from RNAcentral.
UUUCCGUAGGUGAACCUGCGGAAGGAUCAUUACCGAAUUGUCAAACGGGUUGUUGCUGGUCUUCAAACGGGGACAUGUGCACGCUCUGUUUACACAUCCACUCACACCUGUGCACCCUCCGUAGUUCUAUGGUCUGGGGGACCCUGCCUUCCUGCCGUGGUUCUACGUCUUUACACACACUCUGUAAUAAAGUCUUAUGGAAUGUAUGCCGCGUCUAACGCAAUACAAUACAACUUUCAGCAACGGAUCUCUUGGCUCUC